CCUACGGGUGGCUGCAGUGAGGAAUAUUGGUCAAUGGACGAGAGUCUGAACCAGCCAAGUAGCGUGAAGGAUGACUGCCCUAUGGGUUGUAAACUUCUUUUAUAUGGGAAUAAAAUGUUCCACGUGUGGGAUUUUGUAUGUACCAUUUGAAUAGGGAUCGGCUAACUCCGUGCCAGCAGCCGCGGUAAUACGGAGGAUCCGAGCGUUAUCCGGAUUUAUUGGGUUUAAAGGGAGCGUAGGUGGAUUGUUAAGUCAGUUGUGAAAGUUUGCGGCUCAACCGUAAAAUUGCAGUUGAAACUGGCAGUCUUGAGUACAGUAGAGGUGGGCGGAAUUCGUGGUGUAGCGGUGAAAUGCUUAGAAAUCGCGAAGAACUCCGAUUGCGAAGGCAGUUCACUGGACUGCAACUGACACUGAGGCUCGAAAGUGUGGGUAUCAAACAGGAUUAGAUACCCUUGUAGUC
RNAcentral lists this ribosomal RNA (460 nucleotides) under uncultured bacterium. Its description in RNAcentral is "partial 16S ribosomal RNA". It matches the Rfam family "Bacterial small subunit ribosomal RNA", at positions 338 to 795 of the family's 1533-position model. The record is from RNAcentral.